RNAcentral lists this ribosomal RNA (496 nucleotides) under uncultured bacterium. RNAcentral describes it as "partial 16S ribosomal RNA". It matches the Rfam family "Bacterial small subunit ribosomal RNA", at positions 28 to 507 of the family's 1533-position model. The record is from RNAcentral.
GAUGAACGCUGGCGGCGUGCCUAAUACAUGCAAGUCGAGCGAACGGACGAGAAGCUUGCUUCUCUGAUGUUAGCGGCGGACGGGUGAGUAACACGUGGAUAACCUACCUAUAAGACUGGGAUAACUUCGGGAAACCGGAGCUAUACCGGAUGAUAUUUUGAACCGCAUGGUUCAAAAGUGAGAGACGGUCUUGCUGUCACUUAUAGAUGGAUCCGCGCUGCAUUAGCUAGUUGGUAAGGUAACGGCUUACCAAGGCAACGAUGCAUAGCCGACCUGAGAGGGUGAUCGGCCACACUGGAACUGAGACACGGUCCAGACUCCUACGGGAGGCAGCAGUAGGGAAUCUUCCGCAAUGGGCGAAAGCCUGACGGAGCAACGCCGCGUGAGUGAUGAAGGUCUUCGGAUCGUAAAACUCUGUUAUUAGGGAAGAACAUAUGUGUAAGUAACUGUGCACAUCUUGACGGUACCUAAUCAGAAAGCCACGGCUAACUACGUG